AUUGAACGCUGGCGGCAGGCCUAACACAUGCAAGUCGAGCGGUAGAGAGGUGCUUGCAUCUCUUGAGAGCGGCGGACGGGUGAGUAAUGCCUAGGAAUCUGCCUAGUGGUGGGGGAUAACGUUCGGAAACGGACGCUAAUACCGCAUACGUCCUACGGGAGAAAGCGGGGGAUCUUCGGACCUCGCGCCAUUAGAUGAGCCUAGGUCGGAUUAGCUAGUUGGUGAGGUAAUGGCUCACCAAGGCGACGAUCCGUAACUGGUCUGAGAGGAUGAUCAGUCACACUGGAACUGAGACACGGUCCAGACUCCUACGGAGGCAGCAGUGGGGAAUAUUGGACAAUAGGGCGAAAGACCUGAUCCAGCCAUGCCGCGUCG
This 375-nucleotide ribosomal RNA is filed under the name uncultured bacterium. RNAcentral describes it as "bacterial SSU rRNA". It matches the Rfam family "Bacterial small subunit ribosomal RNA", at positions 30 to 404 of the family's 1533-position model. The record is from RNAcentral.